AAGCUUGUGUUAGUAAGUGUUAAGUGAACGAGCGGUUGGAAAACAGCAGCUGCAAUAUAACCUCAUGGGAAAUAAGUUCCCAUUCCUGCUGUCCACAUGACCCCUCAGCAACCAAUCCCCGAGCCAGGCGAGUCGUAAACUUCCAAGGCAAAGUUGUAAAUUUUCAUAAACAGCGGCCGUUUUUGUGCUUUGGACGCGCUUUCCUCACCGCCAUCUUUAUUUUCUCCCAAAGAAUGAAAUGUUUAAAUUUUGCGUCAAUAUGGUAGAAACGAGUCAGGAUGUGGAGGUGUGAGGGUGGCCAGCGGGGAAGGAUGCGCUCUCGGUUCUGAUCCAUCUGGUUCGGGAAAGGCUCUUUGUAUUUCUCUGUGGAGCAGCUUCAGUGUGAGGUGAGAGCUGCAGGUCUGGACUCGGAGGGGCGUCGUGAGGUCGGCGGUCCCGCUGCCCUCACUGCCCUUUACCGUGCUGAGUCUCUCUGUGAGGGAAGCCAGGCCUCCGGAGCAGCGGGACGCACGUGGAGAUGACGAGCAGGCUGCGCAGGGCGUCGGGGUCGUGGGACACGUCGUUGGUGCAUCGAGGGCCUCCUUUGGAGAUGUAGUUUAUGGUCGGGAUGCCGGGACGGGACCGGGCGUCGGCGUAGAAGCUGCUCAGAGAGCCGCUGACUGAAAACAGAAGAAAGAAGAAGUCUGAGACAAACACACACACACACACACACACAAAUCCCUCACUCUGAAUAGUUAAUAUAUAUAUAUUAAAAAAAUGCUAUUACCAUUUCCACAAGAGCCCAUUGUGUUUUCUGAUGUUUUAAUUAUGUGUGUGUGGAAAUUAUUGCAAAUGAAAUAAUAUCAACAGAUUUUUUUCUAAACUAAUAGCACAGCCUGAUUAUUUAUUUAUAAAAAUGUUAAAAAAAACAAAACAAAAUGGGACACAGUAAAUAAAUGUUUUAAUAUUUUCAUGGUAAUUUUAAUGGUUGAUGGUAAUUUUAUGUAGAUUUAAACACUUCUCCCGUGUAUUUUAAUUUUUUAUGCAUUUUUGGUGAUUAAAAAAAAAAUGUAUUUCUA
Neolamprologus brichardi is the source of this 1058-nucleotide long non-coding RNA. RefSeq lists it as uncharacterized. The record is from RefSeq and is a predicted model, not a curated record. NCBI's taxonomy places the organism in Eukaryota, Metazoa, Chordata, Actinopteri, Cichliformes, Cichlidae.